Molecule: ribosomal RNA, 442 nt
Filed under: uncultured bacterium
Lineage: Bacteria
Description: partial 16S ribosomal RNA
Rfam family: Bacterial small subunit ribosomal RNA
Source: RNAcentral
CCUACGGGGGGCAGCAGUGGGGAAUAUUGGGCAAUGGGCGCAAGCCUGACCCAGCAAUGCCGCGUGAAGGAAGAAGGCUUUCGGGUUGUAAACUUCUUUGACAGGGGAAGAGCAGAAGACGGUACCCCUUGAAUAAGCCACGGCUAACUACGUGCCAGCAGCCGCGGUAAUACGUAGGUGGCAAGCGUUGUCCGGAUUUACUGGGUGUAAAGGGCGUGCAGCCGGAGAGACAAGUCAGAUGUGAAAUCCACGGGCUCAACCCGUGAACUGCAUUUGAAACUGUUUCCCUUGAGUGUCGGAGAGGUAAUCGGAAUUCCUUGUGUAGCGGUGAAAUGCGUAGAUAUAAGGAAGAACACCAGUGGCGAAGGCGGAUUACUGGACGAUAACUGACGGUGAGGCGCGAAAGCGUGGGGAGCAAACAGGAUUAGAUACCCCAGUAGUC